CCUUUUUCCUUCAACCACUUUCAUCUUUCCUGAGCUCAGUUUCCAUGCUCUUUCAGAUGUUCUCUCCCAGGUGGAAGUUAAAGGUGGCUGGACAAAAGAGAGAAGGAUGCACCCUCACCUUGGGUCACAGUUUCCUGUUUGAACUAGAAGAUGCUCCUGCUACCCUACAGAGGGAAAAAAUAAGGUGCAGUUAAUAUGGGUACUGAGGAGUACAAAUAAUUACCUGCCUGGCAAAGUGGAUGGAGAAAUACUUCCCAUUCAAGUAUUUUAAGAGUGGAACCAUAGAAAUUCCCUGGACUGUGUCAUGGGACACCUUGAAAUGGCAAGAAAAGUCAAUGUUCCUCUGCUAUGCUCUUUGCUCCCCGACAUCUGAGAGAGAAGGAUUUCCAGUCACCAUGUUGUUCUUCAGUUCAUCCAUCUGCAGCCUGCUCCUUCUGCUUCACAUUGCAGCAGACUUUGCUGGCCAGAGUCAACUUGUCAGAAGCAGGAAUGUUUAUUGUUUUUGGCUGCUAAGGCUGUGGAUAUCUGCAAGGACAGCUUACCUGGUCAUAUGCAGGUAUAAAUCUAACUAA
This 572-nucleotide long non-coding RNA is filed under the name Zonotrichia albicollis (white-throated sparrow). RNAcentral's name for it is "lncRNA (ENSZALG00000012347.1)". The record is from RNAcentral. Lineage: Eukaryota; Metazoa; Chordata; Aves; Passeriformes; Passerellidae.